GACGCCAUUUGCUCUUUGACGCCCACUGCGCCUGACUUCGUGUUUGCCUCGCUGCAGGGUCGCACCUGUGCUGCUCUCGCUCAGGUCCAUCCGUGCUGGGUCCCCUCGUUCAUCUGGCAUGAGUGUGCGCGCACUGCUUUUCUGAUGCCGCCUGGGAUGACGGACUGGUGCCGCUGUUUUUAACAGCUAAAUGACCGCCGCAAUUACUGCUGCUUUGCUUUGCUUUGCUGAAGCUGCUUUGCUGAAGUUGCUUUACUGAACCUGCUUUACUGACCUGCCGUACAGAAAAGUUGCUGGCUUUUCUGCAAUCACUCCGCUUCAAGUGCUACUGUCUGAUCUCGCUGGGCUGCGCUCUGCUUCAAGUGCUACUGUCUCAUACUGCUUGGCUGUGCUUUGGGUGCGCACUAGAGUCGGCGUGUGACUGUGCCCGCUCCGCCUGUUCCCUUUGGCGGUGGUUCGCUCCGGCACUAUGGCCGUCUUCCACCGCUGGGUCGCCUUGUCGUGAAGCUCCUUCCCAGAGGCACUGGUUUAACGUGGACUGACUGUGUGACUAAGGGAUUUAUUUUCUGAUUUUCUUUUGUGUAUAGUUGUUUCCUUUGUAAAUUUAUGUGACUGUUUUGGGGAUUUAUUUUCUGAUUUUCUUGUGUAUAGUUUUCCUUUUUAUGAUUGCUUUGUUUAUUGUUUUCAAUUAUUUGAAUUAAUUUGCAAUUUUGUUCUGUGUAUAUAUUUUGUGUUAAGUUUUUGUUUUGCUUUAUUAGUAUAGGUCAUAUUGAUUUGUGUGCAUCCCCUCUUAAUUUUGGUUCUGUUGUCCUUCAGCAGCUGAGGGCCGACAGUGGACUGAUGUGGUCGGGUGGUGGUGUCCCUCCCUGGCUUGCUGUGCUGUCACCUCCCCAGUUUGAGUGUCCACCUGAAGUGUGUGUGUCGCUGCUGAGCUGUGCACAUGAGUGGGGUGACUCCUCUGGGCUUCCCCACCCUCCGUCCUCCCUGGUCAGUCACACUGGUAGGGCCUCAGCCCCGAAAGGACCUCCUCCCCCCCUUUCUUUUUGAGUUACUUUCUUUUUAUUUUGAAUAGUUUUUUUUUUGCUU
This is a long non-coding RNA of Myripristis murdjan (pinecone soldierfish), 1086 nucleotides long. RefSeq lists it as uncharacterized. The record is from RefSeq and is a predicted model, not a curated record. NCBI's taxonomy places the organism in Eukaryota, Metazoa, Chordata, Actinopteri, Holocentriformes, Holocentridae. The transcript is spliced from 3 exons.